GGAGGUAUACCCAAGUCUGGUUGAAGGGAUCGGUCUUGAAAACCGACAGGCGGGUCAAACCGCGCGGGGGUUCGAAUCCCUCUACCUCCU
This 90-nucleotide transfer RNA is filed under the name Lentibacillus kapialis. It matches the Rfam family "tRNA". Rfam says of the family: Transfer RNA (tRNA) molecules are approximately 80 nucleotides in length. Their secondary structure includes four short double-helical elements and three loops (D, anti-codon, and T loops). Further hydrogen bonds mediate the characteristic L-shaped molecular structure. tRNAs have two regions of fundamental functional importance: the anti-codon, which is responsible for specific mRNA codon recognition, and the 3' end, to which the tRNAs corresponding amino acid is attached (by aminoacyl-tRNA synthetases). tRNAs cope with the degeneracy of the genetic code in two manners: having more than one tRNA (with a specific anti-codon) for a particular amino acid; and 'wobble' base-pairing, i.e. permitting non-standard base-pairing at the 3rd anti-codon position. The record is from Rfam by way of RNAcentral. Lineage: Bacteria; Bacillati; Bacillota; Bacilli; Caryophanales; Bacillaceae. RNAcentral also lists the same sequence under 1 other name.